AGAGUUUGAUCAUGGCUCAGGACGAACGCUGGCGGCGUGCUUAACACAUGCAAGUCGAACGGAAAGGCCCUUCGGGGUACUCGAGUGGCGAACGGGUGAGUAACACGUGGGUGAUCUGCCCUGCACUUUGGGAUAAGCCUGGGAAACUGGGUCUAAUACCGAAUACACCCUUCUGGCUGCAUGGUCUGGUUGGGGAAAGCUUUUGCGGUGUGGGAUGGGCCCGCGGCCUAUCAGCUUGUUGGUGAGGUUACGGCUCACCAAGGCGACGACGGGUAGCCGGCCUGAGAGGGUGACCGGCCACACUGGGACUGAGAUACGGCCCAGACUCCUACGGGAGGCAGCAGUGGGGAAUAUUGCACAAUGGGCGCAAGCCUGAUGCAGCGACGCCGCGUGAGGGAUGACGGCCUUCGGGUUGUAAACCUCUUUCGCCAGGGACGAAGCGCAAGUGACGGUACCUGGAGAAGAAGGACCGGCCAACUACGUGCCAGCAGCCGCGGUAAUACGUAGGGUCCGAGCGUUGUCCGGAAUUACUGGGCGUAAAGAGCUCGUAGGUGGUUUGUCGCGUUGUUCGUGAAAACUCACAGCUCAACUGUGGGCGUGCGGGCGAUACGGGCAGACUGGAGUACUGCAGGGGAGACUGGAAUUCCUGGUGUAGCGGUGGAAUGCGCAGAUAUCAGGAGGAACACCGGUGGCGAAGGCGGGUCUCUGGGCAGUAACUGACGCUGAGGAGCGAAAGCGUGGGGGAGCGAACAGGAUUAGAUACCCUGGUAGUCCACGCCGUAAACGGUGGGUACUAGGUGUGGGUUUCCUUCCUUGGGAUCCGUGCCGUAGCUAACGCAUUAAGUACCCCGCCUGGGGAGUACGGCCGCAAGGCUAAAACUCAAAGAAAUUGACGGGGGCCCGCACAAGCGGCGGAGCAUGUGGAUUAAUUCGAUGCAACGCGAAGAACCUUACCUGGGUUUGACAUGCACAGGACGUGCCUAGAGAUAGGUAUUCCCUUGUGGCCUGUGUGCAGGUGGUGCAUGGCUGUCGUCAGCUCGUGUCGUGAGAUGUUGGGUUAAGUCCCGCAACGAGCGCAACCCUUAUCUUAUGUUGCCAGCGCGUAAUGGCGGGGACUCGUGAGAGACUGCCGGGGUCAACUCGGAGGAAGGUGGGGAUGACGUCAAGUCAUCAUGCCCCUUAUGUCCAGGGCUUCACACAUGCUACAAUGGCCGGUACAAAGGGCUGCGAUGCCGUGAGGUGGAGUGAAUCCUUUCAAAGCCGGUCUCAGUUCGGAUCGGGGUCUGCAACUCGACCCCGUGAAGUCGGAGUCGCUAGUAAUCGCAGAUCAGCAACGCUGCGGUGAAUACGUUCCCGGGCCUUGUACACACCGCCCGU
RNAcentral lists this ribosomal RNA (1377 nucleotides) under Mycobacterium sp. py140. RNAcentral describes it as "bacterial SSU rRNA". It matches the Rfam family "Bacterial small subunit ribosomal RNA". Lineage: Bacteria; Bacillati; Actinomycetota; Actinomycetes; Mycobacteriales; Mycobacteriaceae. The record is from RNAcentral.